RNAcentral lists this ribosomal RNA (250 nucleotides) under uncultured bacterium. Its description in RNAcentral is "partial 16S ribosomal RNA". It matches the Rfam family "Bacterial small subunit ribosomal RNA", at positions 524 to 773 of the family's 1533-position model. The record is from RNAcentral.
UACGUAGGUGGCAAGCGUUGUCCGGAUUUAUUGGGUUUAAAGGGUGCGUAGGCGGUCCAUUAAGUCAGCAGUGAAAUACGGCAGCUCAACUGUCGAGGUGCUGUUGAUACUGGUGGACUUGAGUACUGAUGAGGUAGGCGGAAUGGACGGUGUAGCGGUGAAAUGCUUAGAGAUCGUCCAGAACACCGAUAGCGAAGGCAGCUUACUAAAGAGUAACUGACGCUGAGGCACGAAAGUGUGGGGAUCAAAC